This 480-nucleotide ribosomal RNA is filed under the name Penicillium spinulosum. RNAcentral describes it as "eukaryotic LSU rRNA". The stretch from base 120 to 273 matches the Rfam family "5.8S ribosomal RNA". Lineage: Eukaryota; Fungi; Ascomycota; Eurotiomycetes; Eurotiales; Aspergillaceae. The record is from RNAcentral.
GCUUCGGUGCGCCCGCCUCACGGCCGCCGGGGGGCUUCUGCCCCCGGGUCCGCGCGCACCGGAGACACCAUUGAACUCUGUCUGAAGAUUGCAGUCUGAGCAUAAACUAAAUAAGUUAAAACUUUCAACAACGGAUCUCUUGGUUCCGGCAUCGAUGAAGAACGCAGCGAAAUGCGAUAACUAAUGUGAAUUGCAGAAUUCAGUGAAUCAUCGAGUCUUUGAACGCACAUUGCGCCCCCUGGUAUUCCGGGGGGCAUGCCUGUCCGAGCGUCAUUGCUGCCCUCAAGCACGGCUUGUGUGUUGGGCUCCGUCCCCCCGGGGACGGGUCCGAAAGGCAGCGGCGGCACCGAGUCCGGUCCUCGAGCGUAUGGGGCUUUGUCACCCGCUCUGUAGGCCCGGCCGGCGCCAGCCGACAACCAAUCAUCCUUUUUCAGGUUGACCUCGGAUCAGGUAGGGAUACCCGCUGAACUUAAGCAUAUC